This 395-nucleotide ribosomal RNA is filed under the name uncultured bacterium. Its description in RNAcentral is "bacterial SSU rRNA". It matches the Rfam family "Bacterial small subunit ribosomal RNA", at positions 958 to 1365 of the family's 1533-position model. The record is from RNAcentral.
AACGCGAAGAACCUUACCAGCCCUUGACAUCCUCGGAACUUUCCAGAAAUGGAUUGGUGCCUUCGGGAACCGAGUGACAGGUGCUGCAUGGCUGUCGUCAGCUCGUGUCGUGAGAUGUUGGGUUAAGUCCCGUAACGAGCGCAACCCUUGUCUUAGUGCCAGCACUUCGGGUGGGAACUUAAGGAGACUGCCGGUGACAAACCGGAGGAAGGUGGGGAUGACGUCCAAGUCAUCAUGGCCCUUAUGGGCAGGGCUACACACGUGCUACAAUGCCAGUACAGAGGUUGCCAACCCGCGAGGGGGAGCUAAUCCCAGAAAGCUGUCGUAGUCGCAGUCUGCAACUCGCUGCGUGAAGUCGGGAUUCGCUAGAAUUCNCGAUCAGAUGUCGCGUGAUA